This is a long non-coding RNA of Gossypium arboreum, 1516 nucleotides long. RefSeq lists it as uncharacterized. The record is from RefSeq and is a predicted model, not a curated record. Lineage: Eukaryota; Viridiplantae; Streptophyta; Magnoliopsida; Malvales; Malvaceae. The transcript is spliced from 2 exons.
AAAAUGGGAAAGAAUAGGGAGUAGGGAAUUUUUUCCGCUUACGUGUCGAAUAAUGGUUUGAAAAGCGAUUUAGUAAAAUAAAUGGACAAAUUUCAUUGGAAACCCCUUUUGACGUCUUCCAAACCUGAACGGUACUAUAUUAUUAUUAUCUCUGUACUUUACCUUUUUCUUGAUUGUUGGGUAAAAUAAGAAGUGCAAUGAAAGGCAAAAGUGAGUGGCAUUGCCAGUUACAUGAGCUGUUGUAGCUAUAGCUGGGACUGGAUAAAUCUCAAGAUAAAAAGGAAUAAGAUUGUGGGUUUGAUUUUGUAUGCAAUAAUAUGAUGCAAUUAAAGCUUUUUCCUUUUUUAGGAGGGUCUCCGGGGGGCGGGGGGAGGGGGGAGGAGAGUGAUCCAUUGGUUAAACAGGAAACCCUAACUCUGCCUUAUCUUAAAAUGGGUUCCCAGAUCUGUACUUGAAGGAGCAAGAUAUGAUGAGGGUUGGUUGGUUUCUACGGUCUCAAUGGCAAUUUAGCAAAUGAUGGUAAGGAAUGGAUGAUGUCUUGUGUUGAAGAAGAAGAGGGCCAAUGAGAACAAAGAGAGAUUGACAGAAGAGAGUGAGCACUCACAGGCAAUUGUAUGCAAAAGGCAUACCUUUUCCGUGGUUGCUUACUUCUCUUCUGUCGGCUAUUUUCUUCUUCAUCAUCAUUAUCUUCUUCUUCUUCUUCUUCUUCUUCUUCUUCUUUUUCCUGCAUGUCAUUAUGAAUUAUCAAAGACCCUUUCGUUUGUUUUUGAUAUGUGUCGGGUUAUAAUAAUAUCUAUCAACUGUACUAUUAUUUUUCUCUGCCUUUUAGUAUUCCAAUUUUGAGUGUGUGUUUUUUCUUGGGAAUAUUUAAAAUAACGAGAAGAAAUCCUUUGAUGGAAGCUUUGAAGGAAAGCGUGACUUUUGAUGGUCCUUUCUCUUUGAAGAGAGGACGAAAAAUGCUUCUUAGAACAUAUAGUACGCCUCCUUACUGUUCCUAUUUUUAACGAAAAACAUAACCGGUAUCUUCGUAUUUUUAUUCAUUUUCCCUUUAUUUAAAAUCCCUCUUCCUAUAUAUUCAUGCUUUCUUGGAGGCGGCCAUGCAAGAAUCAUUGAAGGAGAAGGAUAUCUCCGAUAUGAAUUCAAGUAUCAUGGAAGCAUCUCAGCUGUCCAUCCUCAACUUGAAGGAACGUGAAGGUAAUGCCGGAAUUUGCAUGCUGCAAUAUCACUACUGAAAAACAGGCCAGAUAAAAAUAAGCCCAACAUGCGUAAGGCAUUUGAUCAUGUCUCGUUCGUUCUGGGGAUGGAAACGAGAAUGAACAUGUCGAUUCUUGGAGUAAGUUUACAAAGGCUGUUGGAAUAGCAACCUGAAUUAUUAUGUGAAGAAGAUGAAGGUAGUAUAAGAUUGUAGAUUGGAGUAAAUUACAGAGAGUAAUUGUAAUUAAAUAAUGUCCUUGCUUCAAUUCACAUGAAUAAAUAUGUCUCGAGCCACUAUAUAUGAGCCUUGCGAGCUACCAAA